RNAcentral lists this ribosomal RNA (496 nucleotides) under uncultured bacterium. RNAcentral describes it as "partial 16S ribosomal RNA". It matches the Rfam family "Bacterial small subunit ribosomal RNA", at positions 29 to 507 of the family's 1533-position model. The record is from RNAcentral.
AUGCACGCUGGCGGCGUGCCUAAUACAUGCAAGUCGAGCGAACAGACGAGGAGCUUGCUCCUCUGACGUUAGCGGCGGACGGGUGAGUAACACGUGGAUAACCUACCUAUAAGACUGGGAUAACUUCGGGAAACCGGAGCUAAUACCGGAUAAUAUAUUGAACCGCAUGGUUCAAUAGUGAAAGACGGUUUUGCUGUCACUUAUAGCUGGAUCCGCGCCGCAUUAGCUAGUUGGUAAGGUAACGGCUUACCAAGGCAACGAUGCGUAGCCGACCUGAGAGGGUGAUCGGCCACACUGGAACUGAGACACGGUCCAGACUCCUACGGGAGGCAGCAGUAGGGAAUCUUCCGCAAUGGGCGAAAGCCUGACGGAGCAACGCCGCGUGAGUGAUGAAGGUCUUCGGAUCGUAAAACUCUGUUAUUAGGGAAGAACAAAUGUGUAAGUAACUAUGCACGUCUUGACGGUACCUAAUCAGAAAGCCACGGCUAACUACGUG